AAUUUUAUAAAAGCGCCAGAACUUAAGUGAUUUUCUAAAGGAAAGUCCUACUAAGCGUAGGAGUAAGUUUGCCUAACUAAAUUGAAAUUUAUAGGCUCACUUAAGUUGACGAGGAUGGGGAGAAUCGAAUUCUUCGGCGGGUGCCCCACGGUAUCGCACUACCGUUAACGACUAGUAAAACUAUGAAGUGAUUUAUAGCACAACACUAGUCUGGUGUUAAAA
This is a regulatory RNA element of Clostridium celatum DSM 1785, 222 nucleotides long. It matches the Rfam family "glmS glucosamine-6-phosphate activated ribozyme aptamer". From Rfam's summary of the family: This entry contains a glucosamine-6-phosphate activated ribozyme that is found in the mRNA for GlmS. GlmS is an enzyme that uses fructose-6-phosphate and glutamine to generate glucosamine-6-phosphate. The record is from Rfam. Lineage: Bacteria; Bacillati; Bacillota; Clostridia; Eubacteriales; Clostridiaceae.